RNAcentral lists this long non-coding RNA (688 nucleotides) under Rattus norvegicus (Norway rat). Its description in RNAcentral is "long non-coding RNA NONRATT018941". The record is from RNAcentral. Lineage: Eukaryota; Metazoa; Chordata; Mammalia; Rodentia; Muridae.
CCGCCAUGGCGUUGUACAGGUCCAACAUGAACAUGGGCGCCGAAUUAUGUUUUCCCUGGAGGUGCGGGCGCGGACGAUGGGGCAAGCCCAAGAUGGACAGGAUUUCCCGCUGCAUCUCCCGCCGCUCCUGACUGCGGAGGCGCCGGUGGAUGAAACUGGAGUGCACCUCGUUGUCCAGGCUGAAGUCGGCCAAGGCAGAGCGCAGCAAGAACAGAGGCGCCCAGAGCGCCACGAAGCUGUGUGGCGCCGCAGCGCGCAGCGAGCGCACGUGCAUCGCGCCGGCUCUACGCGCGAUCCGGGGCACCGGGCCCGCGCCGCCCCAGGUGGCAGCGGAGGGGGCAGGGCAGCGGUCCACGACCCGAGGUCACUUGCUGCAGACGAGCUUCACCGUGGCCUCGCCACUCAUGGCCACUCCCUGGCCCGCUGCGCUCUGCCCGAGACGCCCCAGUCCUCUACUCAGUUCUGGCCCGGGGCCCCUCGGCCCGCACUCGCCAGGACGCACCGCAAGGCUAGCACAGCAACUCCAGAGAGAGAGCAAGAGAGCGAGGAGGCGGGCCGGGGUGGGAGGAGCAGCAGUUUGCAGACCUUCAAGUCCGGAGAGCGAGUGCCGGGGAGGCAGCAGGGCGCUGGGCGAACCCUCGCUCCCUCCUCCCACUCUGCUCGCGCUCGGGCCCGCGGGCACCAGCGG